GGGCUGCUAGCAGGCUGUCACCUCUCAAUAGCAGUUUUGUAUAUGGGAUCUAGCCCCUCCCUAAGAGGUUGAUUCUAAGGAAGCCAACAGCCGUGUUGUGAGUACCCAAUGGAAAGUCUGUUGUGGCAGAAAACUGAUGUCUCCAGCCAACAGCACUGAGGCCCUGAGACCUGCCAACUGUCAUGUUACAUCUCAAGGAGAAGGAUUGCCAGAUCAAAAGUCUUGCAGUUAACCAGGCGUGGUGGCAGAUACCUGUAAUCCCAGCUAUUCGGGAGGCUGAGGCAGGAGAAUCGCUUGUACCCGGGAGGCAGAGGUUGCAGUGAGCUGAGACCGCGCCAUUGACUCCUGCCUGAUGACAAGAGAGAAUCUACGUCUCAACAACAACAACACGCUUGGGCACUGUAUUAACUCCAUAAUCGUCCUUUUCCAGGCAGGAAAUAUAACACUGACCAGAGAACCAAGUUCCUCUCUUGUAUGGAUUGUUUCUGUUAAUUAUCACUCAAAUCUGAACGGUGUGGUAGGACGGAGGGAUACCUUGAAAUCUAAGAAAAGGGGAAAAAAGUGCAAUCGCUACAGUGAUACUUUAGCAGAAGUUUCUAUUGCUAAGUAUUGUGGAGCUCAGAGGAAGAAGUAAAGGCUUCAAGACGUUGAACUUUAAGCUGAGUCUUGAAGGCGGAGUCUUCAAGUUAAAGAAGAGGGGUUAAGGAAAGUCCAGGGAGAAGGAACUGCAUGAGCUGUGAAGAACCAUGAUGCAUUCUUGGAAUUGGUAGCAUUCCCUUUGAAAUAUGGAUUGAAACCCAGGAAGCAUGAAAGAAACAAGAAUUCAAAACUUUAAAUUAAGACAAGACUAUGGUAAAGAGUUUGGCAUUGAACAUUCAGGAAAUGUAACAACUAGAACGAGUAUAAAGGGAAUAAAAUGCAAUUUGUGUUUUUA
RNAcentral lists this long non-coding RNA (934 nucleotides) under Homo sapiens (human). Its description in RNAcentral is "MIR4300 host gene". The record is from RNAcentral. Lineage: Eukaryota; Metazoa; Chordata; Mammalia; Primates; Hominidae.